CGGAGGAUCCAAGCGUUAUCCGGAAUCAUUGGGUUUAAAGGGUCCGUAGGCGGUUUUAUAAGUCAGUGGUGAAAUCUGGUCGCUCAACGAUCAAACGGCCAUUGAUACUGUAAGACUUGAAUUACUUGGAAGUAACUAGAAUAUGUAGUGUAGCGGUGAAAUGCUUAGAGAUUACAUGGAAUACCAAUUGCGAAGACAGGUUACUACUAAUGGAUUGACGCUGAUGGACGAAAGCGUGGGUAGCGAACAGGAUUAGAUACCCUGGUAGUCCACGCCGUAAACGAUGGAUACUAGCUGUUCGGAGCAAUCUGAGUGGCUAAGCGAAAGUGAUAAGUAUCCCACCUGGGGAGUACGUUCGCAAGAAUG
This 366-nucleotide ribosomal RNA is filed under the name uncultured organism. Its description in RNAcentral is "bacterial SSU rRNA". It matches the Rfam family "Bacterial small subunit ribosomal RNA", at positions 526 to 896 of the family's 1533-position model. The record is from RNAcentral.